CAGAAACAUACAUGCUCGAAAGUCACACUGAAAAUAAAAAGUUUCAGAUCUCUUUUUAGAAAGUCUCGGAAAGGCUUAGUUUUUUGUCAUUGCGUAAUAAGUAAUGCUGUGGAGUUUCAUAUGGGAUAGAAAAGAUGUAUCAAAGAGACCGUCCCUCGUCAAAUGCGCGAGAGAGUGUCAACGAGAACGAGGCAGAAAGAAUCAGGCGUGGGCAAGACCUCUGAGAGGCUCAAACAAAGGGUGGAUCGACCGCUCUGCAGAUAUUUUUAAGAAUCUCAUCUAAGAUGUCCAAAGAAAACCCCAGCUAUCAUACCCAGUUAUGUUUAUGCAUUUGGUAGAGGCUUUUAUACAAAGCAUUGUACUGCAGGUACACAUUAUGUUUGUUCAUGAAUUCCCUGGGAAUCAAACCCAUGACCUUG
Molecule: long non-coding RNA, 419 nt
Organism: Cyprinus carpio carpio
Lineage: Eukaryota; Metazoa; Chordata; Actinopteri; Cypriniformes; Cyprinidae
Source: Ensembl